RNAcentral lists this long non-coding RNA (227 nucleotides) under Mytilus galloprovincialis (Mediterranean mussel). Lineage: Eukaryota; Metazoa; Mollusca; Bivalvia; Mytilida; Mytilidae. The record is from RNAcentral.
UUUUUACCUAAGUACAUCAUUUAGACUUCAAACAUAACUUUUGAUACAACUAAUAUCAUUCAUAUUCAAUUCAACAGUAUGUAUGUUAUCAACUUCGUCAUUGGACGAUUAGAAGAAGGGGCUUACUAAUUGAACGAUAAGACAAGCCAUCAAGAUUAUUUCAUUCAGGAUACUAUAUCAGUUAUAUUAAACCUCGUUUUACUUUGGCCUUUAAACUUAUCGGAUUC